This 608-nucleotide long non-coding RNA is filed under the name Equus caballus (horse). RNAcentral's name for it is "lncRNA (ENSECAG00000049476.1)". The record is from RNAcentral. Lineage: Eukaryota; Metazoa; Chordata; Mammalia; Perissodactyla; Equidae.
UUUGUGUUCUAUUCAGGCCCUCAACGGACUGGAUGUUGCCCACUUGCAUUGUGGAAAGAAUCCUGACUGGUAGAUCGUCUGUGGUGACCAAAACGACUCUUAGAAAAACACUCACAAUAAAUAUGCCUGUGGAAAAGAAAUGACAAUUCAGGAGUUUGCAGUGUUUCAGAUGCUGGAGAUCCUAAGGGAAGGCAAAGAGUCACGUGCAAGCUUGACCUGGUGGAAUUUGUCAGAACCUCACUGGAGUAGUCAGAACAAUGCCUCCCCCAAAGACAUCCAUCUUCUAAUCCCUGGGACCCGUGAUUAUGUCAUGUUACAUGGCAAAGGGGAAUUAAGGUUGCAAAUGGAAUUAAGAUUACUAACCAGCUGACCUUAACAUAGAGAGACUAUCCUGGAUUAUCUAGGUGGGCCCAAUAUGAUCAUGAGGGUCCUUAAAAAUGGAAGAGAAGCAAGUGCGGAGGUUGGAGUGCUGUGAUGAGAGAGACUCGGCCUGCCACUGUGGCUUUGAAGAUUCAGGAAGGAGGCCCUGAGCCAAGAAGCUGGAAAAGAUCUGUGCUUGGGGGUGAAGUAGAAGAGAAGAUAAAACUGAUACGCAGUGUAGAGGAAAG